GAGAGUCUUGACCAAUUCGAAAGAUCAUUUGGUGUAGUUGAAAUAACAGAAUUGGAACUUGUUUGGUCAAGUAAGGGAAACUCAAUCAAAUUCAUAACUGUCUCAAUAGAAUCUUUUCCUUCUUUUCUCUGUCUAAAUAUUCAGUUAAGACCAUUCCAAGGCUCCUUUUCGCCAUGCAUAAACUAA
This 186-nucleotide ribosomal RNA is filed under the name Triticum aestivum (bread wheat). Its description in RNAcentral is "partial small subunit ribosomal RNA". The record is from RNAcentral. Lineage: Eukaryota; Viridiplantae; Streptophyta; Magnoliopsida; Poales; Poaceae.